Molecule: long non-coding RNA, 6362 nt
Organism: Camelus dromedarius (Arabian camel)
Lineage: Eukaryota; Metazoa; Chordata; Mammalia; Artiodactyla; Camelidae
Exons: 9
Source: RefSeq, a predicted model, not a curated record
GCGGAGCGGGGCGCGAGGUGCGGGGAGACGGCUGCAGGGGCUCCCGCCGGCCCGGCAGCAGCGCCGCGGCCGCGCGAGGCGUUUGGUGUCGGCUGCGGGCCGUCCCGCCAGGGCCCUCUGACGUGCUGCGUGUGCACAGGUGGCUGCGCGGUGCCCGUCAGUGCGCCGCCCGUGGCGGGGUCUGUGUUCGGGGACGGGUGUGUUUGUGGCUGCAGUUGCCGCAGUUCGUCCCGGCCCUCCAGACCUCCCCAGCCCCACUCUCGGCCUCGUGGUCCUGGCACGACCGCUGCUUCUGCCCCGGAUGCUUCCUCUGGGCUCCGCCCCCAGCACGUCCACGUCACGCCUGCUGCCUUAGUCCUGCAGAAAUCCUGCGCUUUGGAUUUGUGUCACCUUCUGUAAGUUGAAAGCUUCUGGACCAAGUGCGGCAGUGAGAUGGAGUCAGAAGAGGAGGUAUUGCCAUCAGAGAGUCAGCAAAGGUGGUUGACCAAGCCCAAAGGAGGGUGCUGAGGGGAGUUGAUGACCUGGACUUUUUCAUAGGGGAUGAAGCCAUAGAUAAACCCACGUAUGCCACAAAGUGGCCAAUAAGACAUGGAAUAAUUGAAGACUGAGAUCUAAUGGAGAGGUUCAUGGAACAAGUUAUUUUUAAUUUUCCCUGAGUUGAACCUGAGGGCCAUCAAUUUUUGAUGGUGAGUAACUGGGACUGAGAGAAGAGCCCUGUGGAUUCUGGGUUGCUUAGAUUUUAAACCCAGGAUAUUCUUCUCUGGGGAGUUUUUAAUUCCCGCUAAAGCUCUUUGUAUGAGUUGGAGUGCUUUUUGGGCAAAUAACAGAAGGUUCAACCAAAAUGUCCAAAACCAAAGAGGGCUUAUUAUCCCACAAAACAGGAUGCCAGGGUCAGGCCACUCAGGACUGGUUACUUGAGCAGCUGAGAGAUGGAGGUGAGAACCCAGCCUAAUUCACUUGUUUGGCCUCUUGUGCUGGUUCCCCUCAGGCCCCAGGGUGGCUGCCCGAGUUCCUGUACUGACUCUUGGUGUAUUUACUUUCAGAGUUUUCGAAUUAAGACUCUCUUCCUCAGAAAACUUCCUAGCAGAUUUGCCCUGUCUGUCCAUGCCCAGUGUGGGCCCUAGAGGGGAACAAAAUUACUUUGGUACAUUUUGAUGAGUCAAGAUUCUCUCCUGUUGCUGGUGAGGGGACCACAUCUCAUCACCUGGCCCCAAGAGAGAUGUUAGUGCUGUCCUGUGACCUCACUGAUCCUGGAUUACCCCUCUAGGGGCUUCAUCUCCAAACACAGUCACCUGAGUGUUGCAGCUUCAGCAUAAGAGUUUUGGGACACACAGCUCAGUAUAUAACAAAGGACAGAACCUCCUCUGAAUACACCAGAAAAUAGAGAAUAUCUUGCAGAAAUUAUGUUCAAAUUAUUUAAUGUACCAGGACUCUACUUUGCAGUUCAGGACGUUGCAGAGAUGAUGUACUAAUGCUGGUGCUUUAAUACCUCAAAGUUCAGAAAUCACUGCAGGGGGAGGCUGAUGUGUCUACAAUCAGGAGGAAAAAGCCAAAUCUUUCCCCUCUGUCAUUGCACCCUGCCAGUGUCCCCUUUGCCCGGGGGUGAGAAGAGGCAGGAGGCCUGCAGAGCAUGCUCUGUGCUCGCAGCCCCUUCAUCCAGUCUCAGAACACUGCCCCCUCCUGGGUGUGAGGUGUUUAGGUGCCACUUGCUGUGUGGUCCUGCCUGGCUCCUCUCUGAGGUCACGUCCUCAGAGGUCAGUGCAGGCCAAGGUCAGGGUCUGUGCCUGUGGGUCUGCUUCCUGGCCUCCCCUGUGCAUCUGAAACAAGUUUCACACUACGUGCAGGCCCACAGAGAAAGUUGUUGUUCAAAUUUUUCUCUGUUUCUUAAUGCAGUUUUUUUCCCCCUAUUUAUAAAAAUUUCAUUUACUGUACAAAAUUUAGGUAAAAUGGAGAAAUGUAAAGAAGAAAAUAGAAUGACCCACAAACCUGCCCAGAGGACUGUGCCACACUUUUUUGGUAUAGUCUACUGAGCUCUUUUUCUUAGACACACGAUACACAUUUUAAGCACAGUUGGGAUACCCUCCAUCUGAUUUCAUGUUCUAAUUGUACAAUGUGCUCCUGAGGUUGUAUUUUGCAUAUUGACUUAUCCCUGAUGUAUCUUUAUGGUUAAAUACUCUGUGGAAAGAUAUUUAGUAACUACCUGACAGCCCAUCAUGUGGGUGUAGCACAACUCACUUACUUGUUUUCCUACCAUUGGCUGUGGGUUGUUUUAAUAUAUUUAAUCUGUGAUGAAGCUGAUACUCAACAUGGGUUGAAUUAAUUUUAGAAAAUGUUAUAUGUAAUGUAUUGACUAUAGAAAUUGUGAAUAGUUUCUGUUUGCGAGAGCUACUGUUCUUAUGACUUUUUUAUUUUAAUAAUGUGUACAUAUCUUUUAUCUUGAUCUUAAAUAUUUUACAAUUGGCUUGGGCUCCUGAGAAAGGCUACACACUCUCUCACUUCUAGAAGUUGGGCACCUCAGAAGACAUAAGAGGAAUUCAGUCACCUGUUCUUGUAACUUCAGUGGUAACUGUGCUUGUACAUAGUGGAACUGAUCCAUCUGUCAGAUGGAUGAGGAUUUGCUCCAGCCUUCUGUCUCCAUGAGUGUGUGACAAGCAACCAGUGCCAUCAGGGAGCUCAGAGUGCCUCCUCUACCUGGUGCAGGUGGAAGGUUAGGUAAUUGGAAGCUGCAUCAAACACAUCCCUAUUGCAGGUAGAGAUAUGAAUUUCAUUCAACAGCUGCCAAGGGAGAGGGAGGUGGGAAUCCCUCCUGAGCAACCACUGGAGACCGCAAAAGCCAUUAAGGAGAAGUACUGUCACAUUUGCCCCAAUAUAGUCAAGAAGUUUGCCAAGUAUGACGUGGAUCAGCGGAAGUGGAUCAAACAGCAAACAGGGAACAAUGCCAUAAGCCAGAAGAAAAUCAUUAUCGAUGUUGGCUAGGAAAGUUUCCCAGGCCCUGAAAUUUUCCUUCACCCAGAGAUACUGAUUAACAUGCCAAGUAUAAUGCCUGGCCCAGGAAGCUCAGGAGAUGAAUCAAAUAACUUUACCAUGAAGGAGCACUGAGGAGGAGGCAGAGAUGAUCUCUGGCAUGGGUAUUAUAAUAGGCGUACUACAAGGCUCAGAGGCAGUGCAGAGGAAGAAAUGAGGAGCUCUUGGAAGUGGUGGGGAGAGGGCAAGUGUUUGGAAUGUUCUUUAAGAAUAGGUACACUUGAACUGACUCUUAAAAGAUGGGCAGGUGUUUGACAAGGCAAUGUGAACACCACAGAUAGAGGGGAGUGAAGCCACCUGGAAUCCUUCCUCUCUGCACUGCAAACAGUUUGGGAUGGUUGGUGCAUAUGCCACGUGACUGUGCACAUUCUGUCCAUGUUGUGUGCACUGAUGAUUUAGAAAUGACAGAAGGGCAAGUGGUGAAGCUGGAGAGUUGCAGAAGCACACAGAGGAAGACUGCCUUACAUGGUUCUUCAAGGUAUUUGGACAUGAUCCUGUGGCAAAGCAAGUCAUUACAUGAUUAUUAAACUAAGCAGUAUUGGUGUGGAAUUUGCCUUCCACAACAAUUAUUUUCCUGCAAUGUGGAUGACAAAUUUGGGAAGUGGAAGAAGGGAAAGAAUACAAACUGAACUGCUGGUUGGAAGACAAUUAUCAGUGGUCCUGGAAAGACUCAAGGCAAUCAAGAAGCUGUGAAGGAAGGGUGCUGAAGGGAGGGACCUUAAGGAUAUGGCCUCUGGACAAACUGAUUAUUAUUGUUUAAGGAAUAGUUUAGUGGGGAGCAAAGCAAAGACAAGCACAAAAUGUGUUCUAAGUCUUUUGGGGUUAUGUAAUUGGGUAAAUGGUAUUGAUAUUUGCAAUAUAUCCAUAUAUAUAUAUGGAAUCAAAAAAUUAGUCACAAGUUUCUGGGAGAAAAAGUAUCUUCGGCACCCUAACUCCAGGUCCUCUGUUUUUCUAUGAGGCAGGAAGCACAGGUGAUGUUAUCCCUAUUUUAUGUCCAAAGGGGUAAACAUUUGGCCUACUAUCACAUGCAGCAGGUUGGGAAGUUUACUCUCUACUAGGCUUAAGAACAGGUAAACAAGGGAGACAAGAACCAUGCUUUCACAGAACUUAUAUUCUUGUGUUUGUGUUGGGGGGAACAGAAUAUGAACAAGUCAGCAAGCAAUGAACCCAGGUCUGAAGGACUAUGAUGGUAGCAGGCAGUGGUACUUUAUCUAGAUAUUAGGGAAAGUAUCCCUGAGGUCACACUGGAGCUGACCUUCCAUUGAGAAGGAAGCAGUCAUUCAGAUUCUUAGGGGAAGAAUGUUCUAGGCAGAGAACAGCAAUUGAGAAGAGAAGUCCCUGAGGUCGAAACAAGUUUGCUGCACCCUGAGGGAGGAAUUCCAAUUACAGAGCAAUUGAAGAGCUGGGGAAAUUCCUAGUUCCAAUGGCAUUCCUGGGAAGGUGAAAGUGAAAGGCUUGUGACGCCUUAGGGUAAAUACCUAGUACAAAUACUCUUGGGGAGGGCUGGGAACCUGCCCACCGUGCACAACACUAUGCCUCUAGAAACUGCAUCAUGACUCACAAAUGCUUUUGGAAGAUAAGCCCUUGCUCAGUUGCCUAUUUUGGUACCUCAUUUAACUAAAACUCAUUUAGGUUUGCCUACAGAGAUGAACUUAAAAAUCUUUAGAUGAAUGGAAUUCAUCUUAAAUUUAUCAGCUCAGAACAAGAAACCACCUAGAGUCCAAUGGCAGGCAGCUCUUCCCUCGAGGCUCAGUCAUGCCUUAACAUGUUACAUGGGAACAGAGCCUCCCAGCCAACUUCCAAACCCCUAAAAGAGACAAGAGAGGCAACAUUUUCCCCAAAGGAUGCCCCGUUAGCUCAGCUGGACAGGACAAGGAGAAAUGGUACCCCACUGCCAAGGUGCCAAGCUGGGUUCUUGUCUAUGUGAACCUGGAAUGCCUUGGAGAGAUGGGACAUUGGGGCUGCCUGCUGGCUCUGAGAUGGGCCAUCCCAAGCACAGUCCUGCCUGCUCUCUGGAACACACUGCUCACACCUCUCAUCCUGUGGUCAUCCUCCACUGCUACUUUGUGGGCUACCUAUUCUUCUGCCAACAGUGUUUCUUAUGCCACCCCAUUCAGCCAAAUGGCUUCAAAUUCAAAUUCUCACUACAGGUAAUGCAGAUCAACACUCUGACCCUCUCUGAAAAGAUCCUACUUUACAGCCAAUUUUCUCAGAUAUCUCUGCUUGGUGUAUCAAAAAAAAAUAUGUGAAUUUAAUAUUUAUCAAUAUAGCAUGAAUAAAUUAUGAAAUAAUUAGAUUAUUCCUAAGUUAUGUAGCCCCUUUCAGAGUAUCAUAUUGAGAAGUUAUAUAUCACGGGCACUUAUUUUAAAGACAGCCCCAAACCAUGAAAUGCAUUCUUUGGAGUGGUGCUGGAGACUGUGGCAUGUUUUGGUCCAUGCCAAGGGCAGGCUCACCUUGUGUCUGAGCUCAUUUCAAACCAUAUGCUCUUAACAUCUCUUUCCUUCAACUGACUGGUCAAUUUUUUGUUCCUAAAAUCACCAUUCAACCUUGGAUCAUAAGAUGUUCGCACAUAGUUUCACAGCACCGGUAUGUCUCCUUCCUAACAACUUUAAUAAUGGCAAUUUUUCAUUUAUUUUCAGUGAUUGAUUCACCUGUCUCCCUCAGUAACUGCGACUUCCACAGCAGCAGGGACAAUGUGCAUUUCUGCUUACCAAUAUGUCCCCAGAAACUAGCAUAGCUUCUGGGACACAGUAGGGGCUUAACAACUAGCCACUGGGGGAAAGAUGCUAUGGAAUAUACUCAUUGGUGGAAAUGUUUCUGCUUCUAAGAGUGGAUCUGCCAAAAAUCAUUCAAAUCAAGGCUAAAUAAGGUUAAGGCUCAGCUAUGCUGUAUUUUUCUUUAAAAAAAUACAAGAAAGACUUUGCUGCUAUUUGGGUUUAAACUGAUUUUGGAGACAAUUAUCAAAAGGUUUGACUAACAAUUUAACAACACUCAUUUGGAUAUGUAUGGCGAUGACCAAUUUUAAAACUUUUUUUUUUUAAUGGAAUAAGAGUUCAUUUUCAAGAAGGUUCACCCAGAUUAGGCCAAAUUUAAAAAGAUAAGAAAAACUACCACUUAAUUUGUCAGGCGCUCUCUCUCUAUUAUUUUCAUUUAAUCCUCAUAUCUGAAUCUUACCCCAGGUCACAGAUGAAGAAAUGGAGGGAGCAAGAGGCUGGGGUUAGACACUGACUAAGAGGCAGAGCCAGGAUUCACAUCUAGGUCUAUUUGAUUCCAAGAGCUAUGUCUUAAACCUAAGCCAAACUUUAAGCUAAUAAAUAAAUGCUGACAUUGAAUAAUAA